CUCAGGCUAUGGGCAGAUACAGUUAGCUUUUGAGGUCCCCAGUUCAAUAGAUGGACAUCAGCCAUCACACAAGCCAAACUAUUCAGGCAACAACUGAAUUAUCCCCAGCUCUCAAGAG
Molecule: non-coding RNA, 118 nt
Organism: Tinamus guttatus (white-throated tinamou)
Lineage: Eukaryota; Metazoa; Chordata; Aves; Tinamiformes; Tinamidae
Source: RefSeq, a predicted model, not a curated record